Long non-coding RNA from Penaeus monodon (black tiger shrimp), 265 nucleotides. RefSeq lists it as uncharacterized. Lineage: Eukaryota; Metazoa; Arthropoda; Malacostraca; Decapoda; Penaeidae. The record is from RefSeq and is a predicted model, not a curated record. The transcript has 2 exons.
ACCUGGCAGAGGACCCAGACAUAUCUUGACGAGUUAGUGACCCGCUAGCCGUGGCCGGAGUCGAAAGCGGGGGGUGCGGCGCCGGUGUACAGUCGGCCGUGUACUUGAAGCAGCUGUCGGGCCUCCUCGCCAUGCCACGCCCCCGUUGACCGCCCACAUCAGGCUCUCCCGCUGUCACCAAUUUUAAGAACACAGCUUAACCAAACGCGAAAUUAGAUCUGCGCCAAUAUGGAGGAGUGUGAUUCGGAAUAAAUAUCAUUUGCUG